This 481-nucleotide long non-coding RNA is filed under the name Astyanax mexicanus (Mexican tetra). Its description in RNAcentral is "lncRNA (ENSAMXG00005020036.1)". Lineage: Eukaryota; Metazoa; Chordata; Actinopteri; Characiformes; Acestrorhamphidae. The record is from RNAcentral.
UCAUGGUCUGGAUGACUUCAGUAUACAACUGUACACUGUAUUUUUUCUCUCUUGUUUCCCAGCUGGUAGCCGUGUAUGAGGAGAUGGAGCUUCAGCAGAGGGCGGUGGCGAGUCCAGGAGGGAGUGUGGCAUCAGGCUUCUCCAGCCCUGAACCCUCAGAGCCUGAGCUCGGCCUUCUAAUGCCCGGCAGCGAGAUCGAGGUCACCUCCAGUGCUCUAAAAUCAAACACGCCUCUACUGGUCAGAAGCAGCAGUGAAUCGGUCCUGACUCCGCCUCUGGAGGCCGGCACUCGUGAGGCUGAUAACCAGAGCAGCAGACCACAGACAACGGGCACCGGCCAUGCGUUGACCGUGAGAGGUGGUGCCAUGGACAGAUUGAAGGAAGACGUUCCAACGAUCAGGCCAGGAAUGAUGUCCAUGAGGUAAGAAUAUGUGCUGUUUCUUCUUUGUUUUAUGUAUUUAUAGAGUCACCUUAUGGCAAA